Gossypium arboreum is the source of this 325-nucleotide long non-coding RNA. RefSeq lists it as uncharacterized. The transcript has 2 exons. The record is from RefSeq and is a predicted model, not a curated record. Lineage: Eukaryota; Viridiplantae; Streptophyta; Magnoliopsida; Malvales; Malvaceae.
AUAUUGUAAGGGGUUAAUAUGUAGUUUGUAUUUGAAUAGUUAGAUUAACGUGUUAGUAAUCCAAUUGUAGGCGGUUCGUGUGUGGAUCUCGUCAACAUAUCGUCGCAAACAGGUGAGUCUUGAUGUGGGUGACUUGGAGCCGGAGGGGAUUCAGAGUGGCCAUUGUGAACACUUUUGGGUUUGAAAAAGAGACUGGUUUUCUUAAGUUAUUUUUAAUUACUAUUUAAGUUUUGGGUUGUAAUAAGGCCAUUUUAACUUUAUUUUCUUCUUUAAUUUUCUAAGAUUAUAUUAUUUUAAACAACUUUAAAUUGAUGGAUAAUAAUAA